UGCCGGUACUUGAUGAAUAAGCCCCGGCUAAUUAUGUGCCAGCAGCUGCGGUAAGACAUAAGGGGCAAGUGUUAUCCGGAAUUAUUAGGCGUAAAGGGUGCGUAGGCGGUCUAAUAAGUCAGUGGUGUAAUGACAACGCUUAACGUUGUCCGGCUAUUGAAACUGCUAAACUUGAGUUAGAUAGAGGCGAGUGGAAUUCCAUGUGUAGCGGUAAAAUGCGUAAAUAUAUGGAGGAACACCAGAGGCGUAGGCGGCUCGCUGGGUCUUAACUGACGCUGAGGCACGAAAGCGUGGGGAGCAAACAGGAUUAGAUACCCUGGUAGUCCACGCCGUAAACGAUGAGUACUAAGUGUCGGGUUAAACCGGUACUGAAGUUAACACAUUAAGUACUCCGCCUGAGUAGUACGUACGCAAGUAUGAAACUUAAAGGAAUUGACGGGACUCCGCACAAGCGGUGGAUCAUGUUGUUUAAUUCGAAGAUACCCGAAAAACCUUACCAGGUCUUGACAUGUUUUUGCAAAAU
Molecule: ribosomal RNA, 523 nt
Filed under: Candidatus Phytoplasma citri
Lineage: Bacteria; Bacillati; Mycoplasmatota; Mollicutes; Acholeplasmatales; Acholeplasmataceae
Description: bacterial SSU rRNA
Rfam family: Bacterial small subunit ribosomal RNA
Source: RNAcentral